This 100-nucleotide ribosomal RNA is filed under the name Janthinobacterium lividum. Its description in RNAcentral is "partial 16S ribosomal RNA". It matches the Rfam family "Bacterial small subunit ribosomal RNA", at positions 1 to 94 of the family's 1533-position model. RNAcentral also lists the same sequence under 1 other name. The record is from RNAcentral. Lineage: Bacteria; Pseudomonadati; Pseudomonadota; Betaproteobacteria; Burkholderiales; Oxalobacteraceae.
AGAUUAAACUGAAGAGUUUGAUCCUGGCUCAGAUUGAACGCUGGCGGCAUGCCUUACACAUGCAAGUCGAACGGCAGCACGGAGCUUGCUCUGGUGGCGA